This 94-nucleotide ribosomal RNA is filed under the name uncultured fungus. RNAcentral describes it as "partial 28S ribosomal RNA". The record is from RNAcentral. Lineage: Eukaryota; Fungi.
AAUGCAGCCUGUUGGGACCGAGGACCGCGCUUCGGCUAGGAUGCUGGCGUAAUGGUUGUAAGCGACCCGUCUUGAAACACGGACCAAGGAGUCA